Centropristis striata (black sea bass) is the source of this 622-nucleotide long non-coding RNA. RefSeq lists it as uncharacterized. The transcript is spliced from 3 exons. The record is from RefSeq and is a predicted model, not a curated record. NCBI's taxonomy places the organism in Eukaryota, Metazoa, Chordata, Actinopteri, Perciformes, Serranidae.
CCAAGUUCUUCUGCAAGAACACAUGCAGCAGAAGAUAUUCUCAUUAAGACACAAGACGUCAGCGCUCAGAACGGCAGAUACAGCAUUGCAUACAAAAAUGAAUCUUCUAGUAGAGGAACAGUGGCCAUCACAAAUCUGACCAAGUCUGACUCAGGCCGGUACAGGUGCGGCUUGGGCAGAACUUCAUAUUGGGACUUUGAGGCCAGAGUUUCAGAUGAACCGUUGUUGGAUAAAACUCAGUUUCUCCACACAGACAUCGAAGGAGAAGAUAUCACGUAUCCAUGCAGCUACACCGUCUACGGAAAACACAAGUUCUUCUGUAAGGACAACUGUAAUAAACAAGAAGACAUUCUCGUUGAAACGGACGGCAACAGAGGUCAGAGUGGCAGAUAUCUCAUUGAAUACAGAGAUAAGUCCAUAUUUGGAUUGUAUGUGACCAUCAAACAGGCGACCACCUCUGACACAGGACGAUACAUGUGUGGUUAUGGCAAAGCGCUGUCUCCGGAUUCAAGACGCAAGUUUACUGUUAUUGUCAUAGAUGACCCAACAUCAACAUCAGUUCCAGCUGCCCCGACACCAACAACACACUCAGCAGUUCUCAGCGGCCACAAGAACAACCAGC